CCGACUUCGAAUCCUUAGACUAAGGACGUACUAACGUACCCUACAAAAGAAGGAAGAGAAUUGACAGCCUUUGGAAAACCAAUAACGAAAGGAACUUCAAUCGCUAAAACCGAAAUGCCAGGAGAAGAAAGACCACAAUCACCGAUCCCUCGCUUCAAAUACUGGAAGGCAAGGCUUCCAACGAAUCCAAGAUUUCCAACAACGUUAGGCCCUCAACCAAGACAGAUAAAUCUGGAAUUGAAAGGGGCAGGAGAAAGGAAAAACAAAACCUCGAGCGGAAGUCUUAGUACCUUUCUCCGAUUCUCAAACAAAGGAGAUUGGCCUUGAUAUGGCUAAGCCAUAGGGGACAUCGUAUACAAGCAGACUGGACGGAAUGGACCGGCUUGCAACGAAUCCAAAGCAACUGCAACUUCUACGACUGAAAUGGAGGACUUCGAAGACGAUCCGUAAUGGGCUAAAAAAGGGCAACCACAUUCCAUCGCGUAGACUACCAGACUAGAUAGCCCACUUUUUGUCAUAUUAAUAAUAAUAGAUUCCAACAAAUCAAGUAAAAGCAGAUGUAGAUUCACCCUUAGGUUGAGAAAGAAAAAGUCAAGACUUUCGAUGGGGAACGCUUACACAUUCCCUGAGACAGCUUAAAAGACUGUAAAUAGAAACUAAAAGAAAAGCAAUUCGCCCCUCUACCAUUUAUCCCACUAAACAAUAGGGCAAUGGACCAGGAGAUUCGACCAACUCAAGGCUAGGCGAGCAAUUUGAAGAGGUAAGUGAGGGAAAGAAUAAAACUACUGUUCAUUUUCGAAAAGUGACCGAAGGGUUGAUUUCGAAAAUGAACAGUAGUUUUAUAACUAAAGCGAAAAGUGACCGAGAUGCGAGGGGAAAACUUUUGUUUAACAUUUUCGGAAAGACCACCUAUUUGUGUAGUCAGAUAUCUGAAUCGUCGGUCACAGGGACCGACGCGACGUACUCCCACAUG
RNAcentral lists this long non-coding RNA (973 nucleotides) under Elaeis guineensis (African oil palm). Its description in RNAcentral is "long non-coding RNA (EGUI_LNC070909)". The record is from RNAcentral. Lineage: Eukaryota; Viridiplantae; Streptophyta; Magnoliopsida; Arecales; Arecaceae.